UGGGGAAUUUUGGGCAAUGGGCGAAAGCCUGACCCAGCAACGCCGCGUGAAGGAUGGAGUAUUUCGGUAUGUAAACUUCGAAAGAAUAGGAAGAAUAAAUGACGGUACUAUUUAUAAGGUCCGGCUAACUACGUGCCAGCAGCCGCGGUAAUACGUAGGGACCAAGCGUUGUUCGGAUUUACUGGGCGUAAAGGGCGCGUAGGCGGCAAUUCAAGUCAUCUGUGAAAUCUCCGGGCUUAACUCGGAACGGUCAGAUGAUACUGCUUUGCUAGAGUGCAGAAGGGGCAAUCGGAAUUCUUGGUGUAGCGGUGAAAUGCGUAGAUAUCAAGAGGAACACCUGAGGUGAAGACGGGUUGCUGGGCUGACACUGACGCUGAGGCGCGAAAGCCAGGGGAGCAAACGGGAUUAGAUACCCCAGUAGUCCCUGAGCGGGCUGGCAAGGCGCAU
This 447-nucleotide ribosomal RNA is filed under the name uncultured bacterium. RNAcentral's name for it is "bacterial SSU rRNA". It matches the Rfam family "Bacterial small subunit ribosomal RNA", at positions 355 to 825 of the family's 1533-position model. The record is from RNAcentral.